UAGGGAAUCUUCCACAAUGGACGCAAGUCUGAUGGAGCAACGCCGCGUGAGUGAAGAAGGGUUUCGGCUCGUAAAGCUCUGUUGUUAAAGAAGAACGUGGGUAAGAGUAACUGUUUACCCAGUGACGGUAUUUAACCGGAAAGCCACGGCUAACUACGUGCCAG
This 164-nucleotide ribosomal RNA is filed under the name uncultured bacterium. RNAcentral describes it as "partial 16S ribosomal RNA". It matches the Rfam family "Bacterial small subunit ribosomal RNA", at positions 355 to 511 of the family's 1533-position model. The record is from RNAcentral.